GCCGGGCGUGGUGGCUCACGCUUGUAAUCCCAGCACUUUGGGAGGCCGAGAUGGGCGAAUCACUUGAGGUCAGGAGUUUGAGACCAGCCUGCCCAACAUGGUGAAACCUCAUCUCUACUAAAAACACAAUUAGCUGGGUGUUGGGGCGGGCGCCUGUAAUCCCAGCUACUCAGGAGGCUAAGGCAGGAGAAUCACUUGAACCUGGGAGGUGGAGGUUGCAGUGAGCCAAGAUUGUGUCACUGCACUCCAGCCUGGGUGACAGAGUGAGACUCUGUCUUU
This 279-nucleotide small RNA is filed under the name Gorilla gorilla gorilla (western lowland gorilla). RNAcentral describes it as "Metazoan signal recognition particle RNA (ENSGGOG00000041665.1)". The stretch from base 133 to 279 matches the Rfam family "Metazoan signal recognition particle RNA". From Rfam's summary of the family: The signal recognition particle (SRP) is a universally conserved ribonucleoprotein. It is involved in the co-translational targeting of proteins to membranes. Lineage: Eukaryota; Metazoa; Chordata; Mammalia; Primates; Hominidae. The record is from RNAcentral.